This 323-nucleotide long non-coding RNA is filed under the name Olea europaea (common olive). Its description in RNAcentral is "long non-coding RNA (OEUR_LNC010786)". Lineage: Eukaryota; Viridiplantae; Streptophyta; Magnoliopsida; Lamiales; Oleaceae. The record is from RNAcentral.
CAUCGUGAAGUCGGUGGGCUCGAAUUACAAUUUUGGAUCCUGUUGAUCAAUUCUUGCAUUCAGGUAAUUCUGUCGGAUUGUUUUCGAAGGAGUGAAUUCAAACUCUAGAAACAACAAUCUUAAAACGAAUUUUGUUUUUUCAAUUAUUAUUUGUUUCUGUUUCUACUCCUUCUUAUCGUUGAUCUUCUGAUUGCAUUCAGAAAUGGCAACUUCUGGUACCACACUCCCGAAUACGACCGGGGAAAAACCAGAAAAGUUUAAUGGGUCAGAUUUCAAGCGUUGGCAACAAAAAUGCUUUUUUAUCUGACGACAUUAAAUCUAGC